Molecule: long non-coding RNA, 2474 nt
Organism: Varanus komodoensis (Komodo dragon)
Lineage: Eukaryota; Metazoa; Chordata; Lepidosauria; Squamata; Varanidae
Exons: 5
Source: RefSeq, a predicted model, not a curated record
UCCUCUAAAAACUAGGUGCGUCUUAUGGUCAGGUGCGUCUUAUACAGCGAAAAAUACGGUAGUUCUAAAGCACCAACUAGUUCCAUGUCCAAGCUGCUUCCCCCCUUUUCAUGAUUUGCAUUCAAUUGAUGGGGAAAAAUCGCUUUUGAAAAGGAGAAAUUCUCAGGGGUUUGCAACAGGGCUUUUGUGCUCACAGCAUCUAAAAUAUUCUGUUCCCCACCAGAAUUCUGAGGUGGCUGAGGAGUAUGCGCGCGUGCCCUGUCUUUCCUCAGGCACUCAUCUCUGAACGAGCUCCGUGCAACGGACUCUGUGCGGGGCAGCCCUUGGAGUCUGUUCAGAAGCUGCAGUCGGUGCUGAUUAGUAACAGAGACCAGAAGCUCCAUACACAACACCAAUCCUGACCUGCUGGCACUCAUCACCUCUCUGCUUCUUAGCCCAGUUCGAGGUGUGGUUUUAACCAAUGGGGUUGGACCACAAUGCCUGGCAGAACGUCUCUCCCAGUCACAGUCUACCUGUACUCAAGGAGCAAGAUCUGGGGGCUGCCUCUGAUAGAGUCAGCCGCCCAGUUAUGGACCUCCCUCCCCAAGGCCUGUGUGGUGCCACCUGUGUUAUUUUUGGAACCAGGUUAAGAUUAUCCUUUCUGAGAGGUCAUUUAAUUAGUUUAUGUUAUAUUGGGGCAUUAUGUCAUGUUAACAGGUCUUGUGAUUUGAUUUGAAUAAACUAUUGUAGCUUUUACUACAAUAGUUUGUAGAUUUAUUUGAAUAAACUGUUGUAGUUUUUACUACAAUCGUUUUUUAAACCAGAUUUUGGUUUAAAAUCUGGCCUUUCAGUUUUGUGUUGUAUUUUUAUAAUGUUUAUUGUGAUUGUAUUUUAUUGAAUUCUCACUGUAUCUUUCAUAUUGCUGUGAACCAGCCAGAAAAAAGAAAGCAAGGGGAUGUUUUGCAUAUCUUGCUGAAGGUGAGUCCUACCUGUGAUAACUUCUUGGAGAAUUUCUCCUCAUGCUGGAGAAAUUUGGUGAAAUUCCCCCUCCCUGGGAAAUUUCUCUGUCCACAAACAGGGUAGAGAAUGGCAGGAGGCCAUUUACACCCAACUUUACUAUAAAUCCCUUCAUGAAACAUACAAGAAACGAAUUUUCAUAUAGUAUGUUUUAACAGAGCACUUCAAGAAAGCUUUUCAAGUCCUAAAAUGUUCCUGUUGUGAAAUUCUGGCAGCAUUAGCCUACACAUUGUUAUCAAAUCUUGGCUAUAGUUAAACCUUUAAGGAAAUUAGCAGUGCCAUCCUAUGGACAUCCACUCACAUGCAUAGGAUUGCAGACUGCAUGAUGCAAUAGUACUAAAUUCUUUGCUUUUGGGAACCUAGACAUUCCUGUAGUUUCCAUGUUGGAACUUCACUGUGCAGUGAGACGGCUAGGUCUGGACUUAGGGCUGACACCCAGACAGCUGCAGCCCAGGAGACCUCCGCAUGCCUGCCGAGCGAGUGGCAGGAGAUGGAAGAGCAGCAAACAAGGCCAGCUUCAGUGGCAGCUGGCUGUGUUGACGAAUGCAGGAGAACAGGAGAAGUGAGCAGACUGAUUCAGCCGGACCUGCAACUGCCACCCUGCCUUGGAAUCCCUUUGUUGGAAUUCGUGUGCUUGGGUUGCUUUAUUUGUAUUGCACAAUAAAAAAGAGAGACCCAGUUCUACACUUCGGCCCAGCAUCUCUUCCUCCCACCCUCCCCUCCAUGAGGGAGAGCUGCACUCCUUCCAUUUCAGUGAAACCAGACGGCACAGGAAUUGUGUGGACACAUGAGAACACACACAGGGCAAGCAAUCAGGAAGACUGGAGAAAAGCACGUCAAAACCUGCUUGCUGUACUGCAGCAAAGACUCUGAUGUCCAUGAGCUGCUAAAGAGAAAGAUGUUUGGCUAAGGAUGGACACUGCUAAGACUUCCAUCGGCCUGAACGAUCAAAACAAGCCACCAGGCAACACAACGAGCCCUGCCCGGCGGUGAUUAUGUGCCGUGUGUCAGGAUCCAAGCCGUCCCGUUAGGCGCAUGGCCAUUUCAGAUGCAGAAGAAUUCAUUUUCUUACAAAGGAACAUCCCACCAAGAGUCACCACCGUGUGAAGUCUUGUGAGGAUAAUACGGUGAAGAGGAGGCUCAGGUACCCCACCUUGAGCUCUCUGGAGGAAAGAGUGACGCAGAAAUGCAAUAUGUAAAGCUAACUCUGAUAGCCAUAGCUGGCACUCUCUGCAUGCCAGUAUGUUGUGUCAGGUUUUCUGAAUGACAAGCACUGACAGCCAGUGUGGCGUAGUGCUUACAUGUUGCACUGGGAUGGGGAUUAUGGGUUCUAGCCCCCACAUGGCUCUGAAGCUCACUGGGUGACCUUUGGCCAAUCAGUGACACUCACCACAUCCUACUUCGCUGGGUGGUUGGGAAGAUAAAAUGGAGAGGAGGAAGAUGCUACCUUGGCUCUUGUGAGGUAAAGGUGGGAUAGA